This 195-nucleotide ribosomal RNA is filed under the name uncultured bacterium. RNAcentral's name for it is "partial 16S ribosomal RNA". It matches the Rfam family "Bacterial small subunit ribosomal RNA", at positions 158 to 353 of the family's 1533-position model. The record is from RNAcentral.
GGUAGCUAAUACCGCAUAACGUCGCAAGACCAAAGAGGGGGACCUUCGGGCCUCUUGCCAUCGGAUGUGCCCAGAUGGGAUUAGCUAGUAGGUGGGGUAACGGCUCACCUAGGCGACGAUCCCUAGCUGGUCUGAGAGGAUGACCAGCCACACUGGAACUGAGACACGGUCCAGACUCCUACGGGAGGCAGCAUG